Molecule: long non-coding RNA, 371 nt
Organism: Betta splendens (Siamese fighting fish)
Lineage: Eukaryota; Metazoa; Chordata; Actinopteri; Anabantiformes; Osphronemidae
Exons: 3
Source: RefSeq, a predicted model, not a curated record
GCUGUUGUUGGACCCUGUGGAGAAGAAGAUGUACUCUUGUGUGUCGUACUCCAGACUGGCUGUGCUGGUCAGCAGGAAUUUGGCAGAAGGAAGUCCGAUCUGUUGAAGAUGCAUGAGCCUGAUGUAACAUCUCACUGGAGCAGCCUUCAAUCUGGAGCAGAGCCAACGCAUGUCAGUUCAACAACGUGCACCCCGUGUACCGCAGCUGGAGACAAAGGUACAAAGACGGCAGAUGCUGCCCUGACCGUCGUCCUCCAAAGGCGAGCCCACUGCCAGAUCGUUGAGCCCGUCUGUGUUCAGAUCAGGCAGCACAGCGAGAGAAGACCCAAAUCUUCCUUUGGCAGAUGCGGCGCCUCUCAGUAUUACCGGUG